Molecule: ribosomal RNA, 465 nt
Filed under: Vreelandella stevensii
Lineage: Bacteria; Pseudomonadati; Pseudomonadota; Gammaproteobacteria; Oceanospirillales; Halomonadaceae
Description: partial 16S ribosomal RNA
Rfam family: Bacterial small subunit ribosomal RNA
Source: RNAcentral
CCUACGUGGUGCUGCAGUGGGGAAUAUUGGACAAUGGGCGAAAGCCUGAUCCAGCCAUGCCGCGUGUGUGAAGAAGGCCUUCGGGUUGUAAAGCACUUUCAGUGGGGAAGAAAGCCUUGGGGCUAAUACCCUCGAGGAAGGACAUCACCCACAGAAGAAGCACCGGCUAACUCCGUGCCAGCAGCCGCGGUAAUACGGAGGGUGCGAGCGUUAAUCGGAAUUACUGGGCGUAAAGCGCGCGUAGGCGGUCUGAUAAGCCGGUUGUGAAAGCCCCGGGCUCAACCUGGGAACGGCAUCCGGAACUGUCAGGCUAGAGUGCAGGAGAGGAAGGUAGAAUUCCCGGUGUAGCGGUGAAAUGCGUAGAGAUCGGGAGGAAUACCAGUGGCGAAGGCGGCCUUCUGGACUGACACUGACGCUGAGGUGCGAAAGCGUGGGUAGCAAACAGGAUUAGAUACCCUGGUAGUC